Long non-coding RNA from Hordeum vulgare subsp. vulgare (domesticated barley), 346 nucleotides. RefSeq lists it as uncharacterized. The transcript has 3 exons. NCBI's taxonomy places the organism in Eukaryota, Viridiplantae, Streptophyta, Magnoliopsida, Poales, Poaceae. The record is from RefSeq and is a predicted model, not a curated record.
GCUAGAAGUCAGCUCCACGUUCGGCUAACCUGAAUCUUCAUUUGGACCUCGUUCCAUCCCAAAGUCCUCUCAUCGCUACCUAGUAAGUUGUAGCACAAUACUGCAUCUCAAGCCGACAUGUAUUCAAGAAUGAUCGUCUUGAAAGAAAGAUCAGAUGGAAUUCUACAACCUCAAAUCUGAGAAAGUACACACCCAGUCAUCAAUCUUGAUGUAAUGCAAGAAUAUUUGUCCUUGUACUAGACCAAAAUGUUUGCUUGUAUUACUGGCCAUAACGCUUUGAGAUUUAUUGGAUAACAAAUAUUUUCCAGAAGUUCUGAAAUAUUUUUAUUGCCUAUUUUUCUCUCAA